RNAcentral lists this ribosomal RNA (503 nucleotides) under uncultured bacterium. Its description in RNAcentral is "partial 16S ribosomal RNA". It matches the Rfam family "Bacterial small subunit ribosomal RNA", at positions 28 to 523 of the family's 1533-position model. The record is from RNAcentral.
GAUGAACGCUAGCGGCAGGCCUAACACAUGCAAGUCGAAGGGUAGCAGGAUUAAGCUUGCUUAAUUGCUGACGACCGGCGCACGGGUGCGUAACGCGUAUGCAACCUACCUUAUACUGGGGUAUAGCCCGGAGAAAUUCGGAUUAAUCCCCCAUAGUCCUAAUGAAUCGCAUGGUUUAUUAGUUAAAGCAUUGCGGUAUAAGAUGGGCAUGCGUCCUAUUAGCUAGAUGGUGAGGUAACGGCUCACCAUGGCUACGAUAGGUAGGGGGCCUGAGAGGGUGGUCCCCCACACUGGUACUGAGACACGGACCAGACUCCUACGGGAGGCAGCAGUGAGGAAUAUUGGUCAAUGGGCGCAAGCCUGAACCAGCCAUGCCGCGUGCAGGAAGAAUGCCCUAUGGGUUGUAAACUGCUUUUAUUUGGGAAUAAACCUCUUUACGUGUAGAGAGCUGAAGGUACCAAAUGAAUAAGCACCGGCUAACUCCGUGCCAGCAGCCGCAGUAA